This 458-nucleotide ribosomal RNA is filed under the name uncultured bacterium. Its description in RNAcentral is "partial 16S ribosomal RNA". It matches the Rfam family "Bacterial small subunit ribosomal RNA", at positions 29 to 507 of the family's 1533-position model. The record is from RNAcentral.
AACGAACGCUGGCGGCAUGCCUAACACAUGCAAGUCGAACGAGACCUUCGGGUCUAGUGGCGCACGGGUGCGUAACGCGUGGGAACCUGCCCUUAGGUUCGGAAUAACUCCCCGAAAGGGGUGCUAAUACCGGAUAAUGUCUUCGGACCAAAGAUUUAUCGCCUUUGGAUGGGCCCGCGUUGGAUUAGCUAGUUGGUAGGGUAGAAGCCUACCAAGGCGCCGAUCCAUAGCUGGUCUGAGAGGAUGAUCAGCCACACUGGAACGGAGACACGGUCGAGACUGGGACGGGAGGCAGCAGUGGGGAAUAUUGGACGAGGGGCGAAAGCCGGAUACGGGCAUGCCGCGUGUGUGAAGAAGGUCUUAGGAUUGUAAAGCACUUAAAGCUGGGAGGAAGGGCAGUAAGUUAAUACCGUGCUGUUUUGACGUUACCGUCAGAAUAAGCACCGGCUAACUUCGUG